This 1542-nucleotide ribosomal RNA is filed under the name Salmonella enterica. Its description in RNAcentral is "bacterial SSU rRNA". It matches the Rfam family "Bacterial small subunit ribosomal RNA". RNAcentral also lists the same sequence under 1 other name. Lineage: Bacteria; Pseudomonadati; Pseudomonadota; Gammaproteobacteria; Enterobacterales; Enterobacteriaceae. The record is from RNAcentral.
AAAUUGAAGAGUUUGAUCAUGGCUCAGAUUGAACGCUGGCGGCAGGCCUAACACAUGCAAGUCGAACGGUAACAGGAAGCAGCUUGCUGCUUCGCUGACGAGUGGCGGACGGGUGAGUAAUGUCUGGGAAACUGCCUGAUGGAGGGGGAUAACUACUGGAAACGGUAGCUAAUACCGCAUAAUGUCGCAGGACCAAAGAGGGGGACCUUCGGGCCUCUUGCCAUCAGAUGUGCCCAGAUGGGAUUAGCUUGUUGGUGAGGUAACGGCUCACCAAGGCGACGAUCCCUAGCUGGUCUGAGAGGAUGACCAGCCACACUGGAACUGAGACACGGUCCAGACUCCUACGGGAGGCAGCAGUGGGGAAUAUUGCACAAUGGGCGCAAGCCUGAUGCAGCCAUGCCGCGUGUAUGAAGAAGGCCUUCGGGUUGUAAAGUACUUUCAGCGGGGAGGAAGGGGAUAAGGCUAAUAACCUUGUUCAUUGACGUUACCCGCAGAAGAAGCACCGGCUAACUCCGUGCCAGCAGCCGCGGUAAUACGGAGGGUGCAAGCGUUAAUCGGAAUUACUGGGCGUAAAGCGCACGCAGGCGGUCUGUCAAGUCGGAUGUGAAAUCCCCGGGCUCAACCUGGGAACUGCAUUCGAAACUGGCAGGCUUGAGUCUUGUAGAGGGGGGUAGAAUUCCAGGUGUAGCGGUGAAAUGCGUAGAGAUCUGGAGGAAUACCGGUGGCGAAGGCGGCCCCCUGGACAAAGACUGACGCUCAGGUGCGAAAGCGUGGGGAGCAAACAGGAUUAGAUACCCUGGUAGUCCACGCCGUAAACGAUGUCUACUUGGAGGUUGUGCCCUUGAGGCGUGGCUUCCGGAGCUAACGCGUUAAGUAGACCGCCUGGGGAGUACGGCCGCAAGGUUAAAACUCAAAUGAAUUGACGGGGGCCCGCACAAGCGGUGGAGCAUGUGGUUUAAUUCGAUGCAACGCGAAGAACCUUACCUGGUCUUGACAUCCACAGAACUUUCCAGAGAUGGAUUGGUGCCUUCGGGAACUGUGAGACAGGUGCUGCAUGGCUGUCGUCAGCUCGUGUUGUGAAAUGUUGGGUUAAGUCCCGCAACGAGCGCAACCCUUAUCCUUUGUUGCCAGCGGUCCGGCCGGGAACUCAAAGGAGACUGCCAGUGAUAAACUGGAGGAAGGUGGGGAUGACGUCAAGUCAUCAUGGCCCUUACGACCAGGGCUACACACGUGCUACAAUGGCGCAUACAAAGAGAAGCGACCUCGCGAGAGCAAGCGGACCUCAUAAAGUGCGUCGUAGUCCGGACUGGAGUCUGCAACUCGACUCCAUGAAGUCGGAAUCGCUAGUAAUCGUGGAUCAGAAUGCCACGGUGAAUACGUUCCCGGGCCUUGUACACACCGCCCGUCACACCAUGGGAGUGGGUUGCAAAAGAAGUAGGUAGCUUAACCUUCGGGAGGGCGCUUACCACUUUGUGAUUCAUGACUGGGGUGAAGUCGUAACAAGGUAACCGUAGGGGAACCUGCGGUUGGAUCACCUCCUUA